CCUCCAUCUCCACUCAUAUUUUUCCCCUUCUGUUCUUCUUUUUCCCUCUCUUCUCCUCCUCCCCUUUACCUCCGAUGGGGUUCUUGACAGUAGGGGAGCUGAAGCCCCCUGCACCCUCCCCUAAUCUGCCCCUGCUUAUUACCUGACUCGAUGAAUUGAUGGUGCAGGGAGCUUUGGCGUGGUGGCUAGCGAGGUGCUAUGGCUAGCCGCCUUUUUCGGCAAUAUCAGUGGCCUGUGCUGUUGGUGAGCGAAGUCAGAUUUUGUGUUAAUCUCAAGCUCAACAUAUCAGAUGUCAUUCUUCAGCAAAGGGAGCUUUGGCGUGGUGGCUAGCCAGGUGUUGAAUUGCGGUGUCAACUCGAUGGAUUGAUGAUGCGGGGAGCUUUGGCGUGGUGGCUAGCCAGCUGCUAUGGGCUGGCCGCCUUCUUCGGCGGCGUCGCGGUUUGUGUUGUCAGUGAGCGAGGUCAAAUAUUUAAGGAAGCGUGGUAAACUAUAGGGAUGUGGAGUUGGAAACCCAUUUCCUUUCUUACUCUGUUCUACCUUUUUUUGUUCUCUGUCUUUGUUCUAGAUAUACUGGUUUAAGUUAGUUUUGUUUUGUUUUAGAUAGAUUGAUUUGACUUAGUUUUGUUUGUUUUUAUUUUAGACAAUCUGAUUUCCAUGAAGAACGACACCUAAACCUUUAUAA
Molecule: long non-coding RNA, 682 nt
Organism: Panicum virgatum (switchgrass)
Lineage: Eukaryota; Viridiplantae; Streptophyta; Magnoliopsida; Poales; Poaceae
Exons: 2
Source: RefSeq, a predicted model, not a curated record